RNAcentral lists this transfer RNA (73 nucleotides) under Vicugna pacos (alpaca). Its description in RNAcentral is "tRNA-Val (AAC) (tRNA-Val-AAC-31-1)". It matches the Rfam family "tRNA". From Rfam's summary of the family: Transfer RNA (tRNA) molecules are approximately 80 nucleotides in length. Their secondary structure includes four short double-helical elements and three loops (D, anti-codon, and T loops). Lineage: Eukaryota; Metazoa; Chordata; Mammalia; Artiodactyla; Camelidae. The record is from RNAcentral.
GGAAGGUGUAGCUCAGUGGUAGAGCGCAUGCUUAACAUGCACGAGGUCCUGGGUUCAAUCCCCAGUACCUCCA